CCUACGGGAGGCAGCAGUGAGGAAUAUUGGUCAAUGGACGAGAGUCUGAACCAGCCAAGUAGCGUGAAGGAUGACUGCCCGAUGGGUUGUAAACUUCUUGUAUAUGGGAAUAAAAUGUUACACGUGUGGGAUUUUGUAUGUACCAUAUGAAUAAAGAUCGGCUAACUCCGUGCCAGCAGCCGCGGUAAUACGGAGGAUCCGAGCGUUAUCCGGAUUUAUUGGGUUUAAAGGGAGCGUAGGUGGAUUGUUAAGUCAGUUGUGAAAGUUUGCGGCUCAACCGUAAAAUUGCAGUUGAAACUGGCAGUCUUGAGUACAGUAGAGGUGGGCGGAAUUCGUGGUGUAGCGGUGACAUGCUUAGAUAUCACGCAGAACUCCGAUUGCGAAGGCAGUUCACUGGACUGCAACUGACACUGAGGCUCGAAAGUGUGGGUAUCAAACAGGAUUAGAUACCCUUGUAGUC
RNAcentral lists this ribosomal RNA (460 nucleotides) under uncultured bacterium. Its description in RNAcentral is "partial 16S ribosomal RNA". It matches the Rfam family "Bacterial small subunit ribosomal RNA", at positions 338 to 795 of the family's 1533-position model. The record is from RNAcentral.